UCAGUCCUUAUCGAGGGGGGAGCAAAGUGCUCAAUGAGGUCCCAUCCGAGAGUACUUCUGCCGACAACCUAUCAACCCCUUAUAAGAUGCUUGCCACUUUGCGAGCAUCAAUUUUUGGAAAA
Molecule: small nuclear RNA, 122 nt
Organism: Rhizophagus irregularis DAOM 197198w
Lineage: Eukaryota; Fungi; Glomeromycota; Glomeromycetes; Glomerales; Glomeraceae
Rfam family: U4atac minor spliceosomal RNA
About the family: U4atac is an essential component of the minor U12-type spliceosome complex which is required for removal of the rarer class of eukaryotic introns (AT-AC, U12-type). These interacting stem loops have been shown to be required for in vivo splicing.
Source: Rfam